Molecule: ribosomal RNA, 207 nt
Filed under: uncultured bacterium
Lineage: Bacteria
Description: partial 16S ribosomal RNA
Rfam family: Bacterial small subunit ribosomal RNA
Source: RNAcentral
AGCGCAGGCGGGAAGACAAGUUGGAAGUGAAAACCAUGGGCUCAACCCAUGAAUUGCUUUCAAAACUGUUUUUCUUGAGUAGUGCAGAGGUAGAUGGAAUUCCCGGUGUAGCGGUGGAAUGCGUAGAUAUCGGGAGGAACACCAGUGGCGAAGGCGGUCUACUGGGCACCAACUGACGCUGAGGCUCGAAAGCAUGGGUAGCAAGCA